RNAcentral lists this ribosomal RNA (497 nucleotides) under uncultured bacterium. Its description in RNAcentral is "partial 16S ribosomal RNA". It matches the Rfam family "Bacterial small subunit ribosomal RNA", at positions 28 to 507 of the family's 1533-position model. The record is from RNAcentral.
GAUGAACGCUGGCGGCGUGCCUAAUACAUGCAAGUCGAGCGAACAGACGAGGAGCUUGCUCCUCUGACGGUAGCGGCGGACGGGUGAGUAACACGUGGAUAACCUACCUAUAAGACUGGGAUAACUUCGGGAAACCGGAGCUAAUACCGGAUAAUAUAUUGAACCGCAUGGUUCAAUAGUGAAAGACGGUUUUGCUGUCACUUAUAGAUGGAUCCGCGCCGCAUUAGCUAGUUGGUAAGGUAACGGCUUACCAAGGCGACGAUGAGUAGCCGACCUGAGAGGGUGAUCGGCCACCCUGCAACUGAGACACGGUCCAGACUCCUACGGGAGGCAGCAGUAGGGAAUCUUCCGCAAUGGGCGAAAGCCUGACGGAGCAGCGCCGCGUGAGUGAUGAAGGUCUUCGGAUCGUAAAACUCUGUUAUUAGGGAAGAACAAAUGUGUAAGUAACUAUGCACGUCUUGACGGUACCUAAUCAGAAAGCCCCGGCUAACUACGUG